Molecule: ribosomal RNA, 485 nt
Filed under: uncultured bacterium
Lineage: Bacteria
Description: bacterial SSU rRNA
Rfam family: Bacterial small subunit ribosomal RNA
Source: RNAcentral
AACGAACGCUGGCGGCGUGGCUAAGACAUGCAAGUCGUACGGCUAUGCUUAACCGUAUAGUCAGUGGCGAAAGGGUGAGGAAUAGAUAGGUAACGUACCCUGUGCAACCGGAAUAGCGUCGUUAGCAGCAAUGCUAACUACCGAAAGGGGCGGUAAUACCGGAUAAUGUUGUCGGUCGCAUGAUUGACAACCAAUGGAUUUAUCGGCACAGGAGCGGCCUUUCUCCUAUCAGCUUGUUGGUGAGGUAAUGGCUCACCAAGGCUAUGACGGGUACCAGGGUUGAGAGAUCGGCCUGGCACAUCGGAACUGAGACACUGUCCGGACCUCCACGGAGGGCUGCAGUAACGAAUAUUGGGCAAUGGGCGAAAGCCUGACCCAGCGACGCCGCGUGAAGGAUGAAGUCCCUCGGGAUGUAAACUUCUUUUAGGGUGCUGAAAGUCCGCAAGGAUUGAUCUAACCCAGAAAAAGUCACGGCUAACUCUGUG